This 393-nucleotide ribosomal RNA is filed under the name uncultured bacterium. RNAcentral's name for it is "partial 16S ribosomal RNA". It matches the Rfam family "Bacterial small subunit ribosomal RNA", at positions 523 to 918 of the family's 1533-position model. The record is from RNAcentral.
AUACGGAGGAUGCAAGCGUUAUCCGGAUUUAUUGGGUUUAAAGGGUGCGUAGGCGGUUUGCUAAGCGGGAGGUGAAAUGCAGGCGCUCAACGUCGGAAGUGCCUCCCGAACUGGUGGACUGGAAUGACUCUGCCGUGGGAGGAAUGUGUAGUGUAGCGGUGAAAUGCUUAGAGAUUACACAGAACACCGAUUGCGAAGGCAUCUCACGAAGGGUUGAUUGACGCUGAGGCACGAAAGCGUGGGGAUCAAACAGGAUUAGAUACCCUGGUAGUCCACGCAGUAAACGAUGAUGGCUAACCGCUGGUUUAUUCGGAUCAGUGGCCAAGCGAAAGCGAUAAGCCAUCCACCUGGGGAGUACGACCGCAAGGUUGAAACUCAAAGGAAUUGACGGGG